UCAUCUGAAGGCUGCCAGUGGAAGA
RNAcentral lists this unclassified non-coding RNA (25 nucleotides) under Mus musculus (house mouse). RNAcentral describes it as "oocyte_clustered_small_RNA11638". The record is from RNAcentral. Lineage: Eukaryota; Metazoa; Chordata; Mammalia; Rodentia; Muridae.